AAUAAGUACAGUUUUAACACUGUCCACAUCCAAUGUUUAACCGUUUGUCUUAUUUAAAAAAAAAUAUGAUUAGUAUUUUUAUUAUUAUUACAUGAUAAAACAUGAAUAUUAUUUUAUGUGUGAUUAUUUUUUUAAAAUUUUUUUGAAUGAGACGGAUGGUUAAAACGCUAAAUACGAAUAUCUAUGACUGUAUUUAUU
This 198-nucleotide microRNA precursor is filed under the name Oryza sativa Indica Group (long-grained rice). RNAcentral describes it as "MIR812 microRNA precursor family". It matches the Rfam family "MIR812 microRNA precursor family". The record is from Rfam by way of RNAcentral. Lineage: Eukaryota; Viridiplantae; Streptophyta; Magnoliopsida; Poales; Poaceae.